RNAcentral lists this ribosomal RNA (382 nucleotides) under uncultured bacterium. RNAcentral describes it as "bacterial SSU rRNA". It matches the Rfam family "Bacterial small subunit ribosomal RNA", at positions 524 to 906 of the family's 1533-position model. The record is from RNAcentral.
UACGUAGGGUGCAAGCGUUAAUCGGAAUUACUGGGCGUAAAGCGUGCGCAGGCGGUUCGCUAAGACCGAUGUGAAAUCCCCGGGCUUAACCUGGGAACUGCAUUGGUGACUGGCGGGCUAGAGUAUGGCAGAGGGGGGUAGAAUUCCACGUGUAGCAGUGAAAUGCGUAGAGAUGUGGAGGAAUACCGAUGGCGAAGGCAGCCCCCUGGGCCAAUACUGACGCUCAUGCACGAAAGCGUGGGGAGCAAACAGGAUUAGAUACCCUGGUAGUCCACGCCCUAAACGAUGUCAACUAGUUGUCGGGUCUUCAUUGACUUGGUAACGUAGCUAACGCGUGAAGUUGACCGCCUGGGGAGUACGGUCGCAAGAUUAAAACUCAAAG